CCUAGGCUUGACAUGUUAUGGACAGCUCUGGAAACAGAGUCUCUCUUCGGAGCCGUAACACAGGUGCUGCAUGGCUGUCGUCAGCUCGUGCCGUGAGGUGUUGGGUUAAGUCCCGCAACGAGCGCAACCCUUGUCACUAGUUGCCAACAGUUCGGCUGGGAACUCUAGUGAGACUGCUGGGUUAACCAGGAGGAAGGUGAGGAUGACGUCAAGUCCGCAUGGCCCUUAUGCCUAGGGCUAACACGUGCUAAAUGGUCGGUACAAAGGGAAGCCAAACCGCGAGGUGGAGCAAAUCUCAUAAAACCGGCCCCAGUUCGGAUUGUAGUC
RNAcentral lists this ribosomal RNA (327 nucleotides) under uncultured soil bacterium. Its description in RNAcentral is "bacterial SSU rRNA". It matches the Rfam family "Bacterial small subunit ribosomal RNA", at positions 974 to 1305 of the family's 1533-position model. The record is from RNAcentral.